Molecule: long non-coding RNA, 840 nt
Organism: Dermochelys coriacea (leatherback sea turtle)
Lineage: Eukaryota; Metazoa; Chordata; Testudines; Dermochelyidae
Exons: 3
Source: RefSeq, a predicted model, not a curated record
UGCAGAUAGACUGUUUUGUUUUAAAAGCUUUUUUCUCUAAAUUUUUUGCUUGCAUGGCUAAAAUAAACAAUACUUUGUUUUUUAAGAAGGCGGUCUCGUCACUGGACAAAGACUCUGGAAGGGAAGAACCACAGGUGCUGAGCCAGUUUGAGCUGCAGGUAGGAAUGGUUGACACACAGGUUAUGGUAGUCCAGGACCUGGUCUAAGAGUAUGAGAAUUGUGGGAUUCCACCCUAGGACAGGUAAAGGCAUGAGGCCUGACACCUGAGGGGAUGCACUCAGACCAGGAGGGGGACAGAGGUGCUGCUAGCCCUGUAAUUGUGACAACAAUAAAUGAAAUUUAACUGAAAACAUGCAGUGCCAUUAAGACUAGUAUCUGUUGCAGGUAUAUCAUUCUCUGGAAUAAAUAUUACUAAUCACCUCCUUUGCAAUAGGUUCUUACAUUAAAUGGUCAGUAAUAAAAGCAGUGGUUCAAAGGAGCCCCAUUGACUUAAAUAACUAUCACCAUGGAUGAAUUUAACCCACUAUCAUGUUGUACAGUGGCUAAUCCUCUGCUAGGAUGGUAGAGAUCACUGUCCCCCGCUCUUCUUAGCUAAAGGAACACAACAGUUUGAAUUUAUUUCUUGAAAUUUUUUCUGUUUCAGUUAUGAAACCGAAUUUUCUUGGCCGAUUAAACAGCAUUGCAAUAUUCUUAUUAAGCCUGUACUUUCAGCAAGCAAGUGCAAAGGUGAUGACCGCAGAUGCUGCUAAUGUUAAAGGACAUGAUUGCACAGAACUAUUUACUGAAAAUCCUAAUGCUGAAAGUGGAGUUUACCUGAUAAAACCAGAAAAAGUUGCAAAG